GACGAACCGUGCGAACGUUGUUCGGAUUCACUGGGCUUAAAGGGCGCGUAGGCGGCUUGCCAAGUCAGGGGUGAAAUCGUUCGGCUCAACCGGACAAGUGCUUCUGAUACGGGCAGGCUGGAGUUCGGUAGGGGAGACUGGAAUUCCUGGUGUAGCGGUGAAAUGCGCAGAUAUCAGGAGGAACACCGGUGGCGAAGGCGGGUCUCUGGGCCGAUACUGACGCUGAGGAGCGAAAGCGUGGGGAGCGAACAGG
RNAcentral lists this ribosomal RNA (253 nucleotides) under uncultured bacterium. RNAcentral describes it as "partial 16S ribosomal RNA". It matches the Rfam family "Bacterial small subunit ribosomal RNA", at positions 524 to 776 of the family's 1533-position model. The record is from RNAcentral.